UGGGGAAUAUUGGACAAUGGGGGGAACCCUGAUCCAGCCAUGCCGCGUGUGUGAAGAAGGCCUUAUGGUUGUAAAGCACUUUAAGCGAGGAGGAGGGUACUGGUAUUAAUACUACCAGGUACUGGACGUUACUCGCAGAAUAAGCACCGGCUAACUCUGUGCCAGCAGCCGCGGUAAUACAGAGGGUGCGAGCGUUAAUCGGAUUUACUGGGCGUAAAGCGUGCGUAGGCGGCUAAUUGAGUCGGAUGUGAAAUCCCCGAGCUUAACUUGGGAAUUGCAUUCGAUACUGGUUAGCUAGAGUGUGGGAGAGGAUGGUAGAAUUCCAGGUGUAGCGGUGAAAUGCGGAGAGAUCUGGAGGAAUACCGAUGGCGAAGGCAGCCAUCUGGCCUAACACUGACGCUGAGGUACGAAAGCAUGGGGAGCAAACAGG
This 430-nucleotide ribosomal RNA is filed under the name Pseudomonadota bacterium. Its description in RNAcentral is "Proteobacteria bacterium partial 16S ribosomal RNA". It matches the Rfam family "Bacterial small subunit ribosomal RNA", at positions 355 to 776 of the family's 1533-position model. The record is from RNAcentral. Lineage: Bacteria; Pseudomonadati; Pseudomonadota.